Molecule: ribosomal RNA, 376 nt
Filed under: uncultured bacterium
Lineage: Bacteria
Description: bacterial SSU rRNA
Rfam family: Bacterial small subunit ribosomal RNA
Source: RNAcentral
CGGUAAUACGGAGGAUCCAAGCGUUAUCCGGAAUCAUUGGGUUUAAAGGGUCCGUAGGCGGUUUAAUAAGUCAGUGGUGAAAUCUGGUCGCUUAACGAUCAAACGGCCAUUGAUACUGUUAGACUUGAAUUACUAGGAAGUAACUAGAAUAUGUAGUGUAGCGGUGAAAUGCUUAGAUAUUACAUGGAAUACCAAUUGCGAAGGCAGGUUACUACUAGUGGAUUGACGCUGAUGGACGAAAGCGUGGGGAGCGAACAGGAUUAGAUACCCUGGUAGUCCACGCCGUAAACGAUGGAUACUAGCUGUUCGGAGCAAUCUGAGUGGCUAAGCGAAAGUGAUAAGUAUCCCACCUGGGGAGUACGUUCGCAAGAAUGAA